GGGAAAAGUUGCAUGACUGUGUCAAACUAGCCAGUUUUUGGGCUAUUCGGAAACUUUUCCUAUCAUCUUUUUCCUUUAAACAUCAAAGGAAGUUGUGGAGUGUAGGGAAGCUGUGAAAGGAAAGGGCUUUCAGAUGAAUGCUCAAGGACACUAAGAACUUAAGGCAGACAAGCGUCUGCAGAGGUCACAUGUCCAACAGGAAGUUGCAUCAUUUGAACUCCCUUGAAGAUCAUGGGAAGGAGAAGAAACAAUUUGCGUCAUUAUAGUCUCUUUAUUUUCAGCGGUAUUGUAAGUAACGGGAUUUGAAGUACCUGUAUAUCAGUGUUGCACUAAUAUAUAUAUAUCUAGAAAAUAAAUUAUUAAUGAAAAUAAUUAAUAAUUUUGUCCUUACGACAUUAGCAUGGAUGCUAGCUGUGUAUUUG
Molecule: long non-coding RNA, 422 nt
Organism: Ictalurus punctatus (channel catfish)
Lineage: Eukaryota; Metazoa; Chordata; Actinopteri; Siluriformes; Ictaluridae
Source: Ensembl